This 1101-nucleotide long non-coding RNA is filed under the name Oryctolagus cuniculus (rabbit). Its description in RNAcentral is "lncRNA (ENSOCUG00000035510.1)". The record is from RNAcentral. Lineage: Eukaryota; Metazoa; Chordata; Mammalia; Lagomorpha; Leporidae.
AUGGCAUCCGAGGUCUGUGGCGCUUGUUGCAGGGUAGAGGGGACACGUGAGGCAGCAGUCAGAGGCCCUGGGUCAAGCAGCCCCGAGCCUGGGACCAGCCCCUUGCAAACUAGACUCCCAGGAGCCACAGUAGACCUGGGUUCUGAGCUGUGUUCUUGGCCACUGGGGAGACAAGGUGCAGGUGUGUGUGUGCUGGAACACGUGCUGGGCUGCAGGUCUGUGAGGGCCGUCCUCACGGAUUCUCCCUCUCCCCUCUCUCUCUGUCUCGCCUCCUCUCUCUGGAACUCAUUGAUGAUGAUGCUGCCCCCUCUGGGAGUGCAGUGGCAGUGUUCUGGUUGUGGUUCUGACCCAGCUGCUCCCACCAACCCCAGGGCUCCCUCCCAUCCACACCAGCUCCCACCCAGCCCUAAGCAGUACAACUCCACCAGCCUGCGCCUCUGCUCACCCCCUCUGACCCGGCCUGGCCAGCCGGCAGACAACCCUGGACCUCCAGCCAGGAGAGCUGAGGGGUCUCUGUCACCUCACCUUUGCUCAUGGGGUCAGGAAGGCGACAGAGGGGACAAGGCUACACUGCACUCUGCUUGGUGGGUGGAGAAGUGGUGUGGGUCUCUCCUCUCACUCCUACACGUGGGAGCAUCUGUUCCUCCUGUUUGCAGAGGAACCUGGGCCCAGGGGAAGGGAAGCCCUGGAAGGCAUUUUGUGUGCCCUUGGGAUUGGCAGCCCCUCCCGCCGGCGCCCUCUGCCUCCAGCCUCACUCCCUCAUCCCAUCAGCAGCGUGUGCUCUUAAUGAGCCUGUCCAGACUGGCCUUGUCUCUUGGCGCUGACGGACCGUAUCCCUGUAAUCAAAGUUUCAUGGCUCAAUUUAGCGCAGUAGGGACAGGUAAUCCCAGCUCCCCGGCUCCUCCCGCCCUGCUCUCAAACGUCAUUUCUGGGAUUGGGCCCAGAACAUUCACGCACUAUCCUCAGAUCACUGCCCACUGGGCUUUGCAGAAGGGGCCCCCACCCCCACUCCAGGAAGGCCCGGGUGCCGCUGCCUCCCUCCACCCCCUUGUGGUGGUCACUUGUCACCUGGGCCACCCAGAUCUCCCCGAGCACCUUUAG